Parasteatoda tepidariorum (common house spider) is the source of this 500-nucleotide non-coding RNA. Lineage: Eukaryota; Metazoa; Arthropoda; Arachnida; Araneae; Theridiidae. The record is from RefSeq and is a predicted model, not a curated record.
GAAUAUUUUAAACCUAUUAAUUUAAAUUUUAGUGAACUAAUAAUUUCUUAUAGGUCAAAAUAGUUUCGUUGGGUGUACAGUGGGUUUGUAAAGCUUAUAGUGAAGAGAAUUUUAGAAAUCGUGCUACAGAUACUCCUAAAUAUCAAGUGACUGGCGAUGAUUUAAAGUCAAUAAAAAUGAUGAAUAUAUUAGAGCCUUGCACCCUUCAAAUUGGAGAUAGGAACUAUUUGGUAAUGAAAGAUAGCUAUGAGAUUGUGUCAGUGCACGAUUGGAAGAAUCGUAUGUCAGGUCGAUUGACAGUUGACAGCUCAGAUUCUCCCAUCCUGAAAAGGAGAAGUGCCAGAAAAACAGUCAUUCCCAACUUCAUCCAGAAUAACAAUAUUGACUCUAAUUGUGUGUCCAAUGAUACUGAUAACUCUGAUUUUGAAGAUAUGGAUGAUGAGGAGAGCGGCAGAUCUUCGGAUGCUUCAUCUGUAACUAGUCAUUCUACAGCAUCUUCU